Molecule: ribosomal RNA, 465 nt
Filed under: uncultured bacterium
Lineage: Bacteria
Description: partial 16S ribosomal RNA
Rfam family: Bacterial small subunit ribosomal RNA
Source: RNAcentral
GAUGAACGCUGGCGGCGUGCUUAACACAUGCCAGUCGAACGGAAAGGCCCAAGCUUGCUUGGGUACUCGAGUGGCGAACGGGUGAGUAACACGUGGGUGAUCUGCCCUGCACUUCGGGAUAAGCCUGGGAAACUGGGUCUAAUACCGGAUAGGACCACAUUUUGGAUGGUGUGGUGGAAAGUUUUUCGGUGUGGGAUGAGCUCGCGGCCUAUCAGCUUGUUGGUGGGGUAAUGGCCUACCAAGGCGUCGACGGGUAGCCGGCCUGAGAGGGUGUACGGCCACAUUGGGACUGAGAUACGGCCCAGACUCCUACGGGAGGCAGCAGUGGGGAAUAUUGCACAAUGGGCGCAAGCCUGAUGCAGCGACGCCCCGUGGGGGAUGACGGCCUUCGGGUUGUAAACUCCUUUCGCUAGGGACGAAGCGCAAGUGACGGUACCUGGAGAAGAAGCACCGGCUAACUACGUG